AGAGUUUGAUCAUGGCUCAGAUUGAACGCUGGCGGCAGGCCUAACACAUGCAAGUCGAGCGGUAGCACAGAGAGCUUGCUCUCGGUGACGAGCGGCGGACGGGUGAGUAAUGUCUGGGAAACUGCCUGAUGGAGGGGGAUAACUACUGGAAACGGUAGCUAAUACCGCAUAACGUCGCAAGACCAAAGUGGGGGACCUUCGGGCCUCAUGCCAUCAGAUGUGCCCAGAUGGGAUUAGCUAGUAGGUGGGGUAAUGGCUCACCUAGGCGACGAUCCCUAGCUGGUCUGAGAGGAUGACCAGCCACACUGGAACUGAGACACGGUCCAGACUCCUACGGGAGGCAGCAGUGGGGAAUAUUGCACAAUGGGCGCAAGCCUGAUGCAGCCAUGCCGCGUGUGUGAAGAAGGCCUUCGGGUUGUAAAGCACUUUCAGCGGGGAGGAAGGCGUUAAGGUUAAUAACCUUGGCGAUUGACGUUACCCGCAGAAGAAGCACCGGCUAACUCCGUGCCAGCAGCCGCGGUAAUACGGAGGGUGCAAGCGUUAAUCGGAAUUACUGGGCGUAAAGCGCACGCAGGCGGUCUGUCAAGUCGGAUGUGAAAUCCCCGGGCUCAACCUGGGAACUGCAUUCGAAACUGGCAGGCUAGAGUCUUGUAGAGGGGGGUAGAAUUCCAGGUGUAGCGGUGAAAUGCGUAGAGAUCUGGAGGAAUACCGGUGGCGAAGGCGGCCCCCUGGACAAAGACUGACGCUCAGGUGCGAAAGCGUGGGGAGCAAACAGGAUUAGAUACCCUGGUAGUCCACGCCGUAAACGAUGUCGAUUUGGAGGUUGUGCCCUUGAGGCGUGGCUUCCGGAGCUAACGCGUUAAAUCGACCGCCUGGGGAGUACGGCCGCAAGGUUAAAACUCAAAUGAAUUGACGGGGGCCCGCACAAGCGGUGGAGCAUGUGGUUUAAUUCGAUGCAACGCGAAGAACCUUACCUGGUCUUGACAUCCACAGAACUUUCCAGAGAUGGAUUGGUGCCUUCGGGAACUGUGAGACAGGUGCUGCAUGGCUGUCGUCAGCUCGUGUUGUGAAAUGUUGGGUUAAGUCCCGCAACGAGCGCAACCCUUAUCCUUUGUUGCCAGCGGUUAGGCCGGGAACUCAAAGGAGACUGCCAGUGAUAAACUGGAGGAAGGUGGGGAUGACGUCAAGUCAUCAUGGCCCUUACGACCAGGGCUACACACGUGCUACAAUGGCAUAUACAAAGAGAAGCGACCUCGCGAGAGCAAGCGGACCUCAUAAAGUAUGUCGUAGUCCGGAUUGGAGUCUGCAACUCGACUCCAUGAAGUCGGAAUCGCUAGUAAUCGUAGAUCAGAAUGCUACGGUGAAUACGUUCCCGGGCCUUGUACACACCGCCCGUCACACCAUGGGAGUGGGUUGCAAAAGAAGUAGGUAGCUUAACCUUCGGGAGGGCGCUUACCACUUUGUGAUUCAUGACUGGGGUGAAGUCGUAACAAGGUAACCGUAGGGGAACCUGCGGUUGGAUCACCU
RNAcentral lists this ribosomal RNA (1527 nucleotides) under Klebsiella pneumoniae. Its description in RNAcentral is "bacterial SSU rRNA". It matches the Rfam family "Bacterial small subunit ribosomal RNA". Lineage: Bacteria; Pseudomonadati; Pseudomonadota; Gammaproteobacteria; Enterobacterales; Enterobacteriaceae. The record is from RNAcentral.